AGCAGUCGCCGCGGUAAUACGAAGGGUGCAAGCGUUACUCGGAAUUACUGGGCGUAAAGCGUGUGUAGGUGGUUGUUUAAGUCCGUUGUGAAAGCACUGGGCUCAACCUGGGAAUUGCAGUGGAUACUGGCAAGCUAGAGUGUGUCAGAGGAUGGUGAAUUCCCGGUGUAGCGGUGAAAUGCGUAGAGAUCGGGAGGAACAUCAGUGGCGAAGGCGGCCAUCUGGGACAACACUGACGCUGAGGCACGAAAGCGUGGGGAGCAAACAGGAUUAGAUACCCCAGUAGUCCCUGUCUCUUAUACA
This 303-nucleotide ribosomal RNA is filed under the name uncultured bacterium. Its description in RNAcentral is "partial 16S ribosomal RNA". It matches the Rfam family "Bacterial small subunit ribosomal RNA", at positions 507 to 808 of the family's 1533-position model. The record is from RNAcentral.